UCUAACGUGGCGGAUAAGUGCACUGGAUUUAAGCUCCACAAAUAAAGCAGACAGCUUUCAUUAGAA
Molecule: transfer RNA, 66 nt
Filed under: Glossotermes oculatus
Lineage: Eukaryota; Metazoa; Arthropoda; Insecta; Blattodea; Rhinotermitidae
Description: tRNA-Leu
Source: RNAcentral